This 460-nucleotide ribosomal RNA is filed under the name uncultured bacterium. RNAcentral's name for it is "partial 16S ribosomal RNA". It matches the Rfam family "Bacterial small subunit ribosomal RNA", at positions 338 to 795 of the family's 1533-position model. The record is from RNAcentral.
CCUACGGGCGGCAGCAGUGAGGAAUAUUGGUCAAUGGACGAGAGUCUGAACCAGCCAAGUAGCGUGAAGGAUGACUGCCCUAUGGGUUGUAAACUUCUUUUAUAUGGGAAUAAAACGUUCCACGUGUGGGAUUUUGUAUGUACCAUAUGAAUAAGGAUCGGCUAACUCCGUGCCAGCAGCCGCGGUAAUAUGGAGGAUCCGAGCGUUAUCCGGAUUUAUUGGGUUUAAAGGGAGCGUAGGUGGAUUGUUAAGUCAGUUGUGAAAGUUUGCGGCUCAACCGUAAAAUUGCAGUUGAAACUGGCAGUCUUGAGUACAGUAGAGGUGGGCGGAAUUCGUGGUGUAGCGGUGAAAUGCUUAGAUAUCACGAAGAACUCCGAUUGCGAAGGCAGUUCACUGGACUGCAACUGACACUGAGGCUCGAAAGUGUGGGUAUCAAACAGGAUUAGAUACCCUGGUAGUC